This 86-nucleotide small nucleolar RNA is filed under the name Octodon degus (degu). RNAcentral's name for it is "Small nucleolar RNA SNORA1 (ENSODEG00000022221.1)". It matches the Rfam family "Small nucleolar RNA SNORA1", at positions 50 to 135 of the family's 135-position model. Rfam says of the family: ACA1 is a member of the H/ACA class of snoRNA that guide the sites of modification of uridines to pseudouridines. Lineage: Eukaryota; Metazoa; Chordata; Mammalia; Rodentia; Octodontidae. The record is from RNAcentral.
AAACUAAUGUGGCUAAAAUUGAGACACAGGUCAUGCUUUCAUCACAGUAAAUAUUUACAGUAGUGACAAUGAGGCCUGUCACGUUU